GUCCACGCUGUAAACGAUGGGCGCUAGGUGUGGGGGGUUUUAAGUUCCCUCCGUGCCGCAGCUAACGCAUUAAGCGCCCCGCCUGGGGAGUACGGCCGCAAGGUUAAAACUCAAAGGAAUUGACGGGGGCCCGCACAAGCGGUGGAGCAUGUGGUUUAAUUCGACGCAACGCGAAGAACCUUACCUGGGCUUGACAUGUGGGGAAUCUCACGGAAACGUGGGAGUGCGUAGCAAUACGAACCCCAGCACAGGUGAUGCAUGGCUGUCGU
This 269-nucleotide ribosomal RNA is filed under the name uncultured bacterium. Its description in RNAcentral is "partial 16S ribosomal RNA". It matches the Rfam family "Bacterial small subunit ribosomal RNA", at positions 793 to 1055 of the family's 1533-position model. The record is from RNAcentral.